This is a long non-coding RNA of Dermacentor silvarum, 1191 nucleotides long. RefSeq lists it as uncharacterized. The transcript has 3 exons. Lineage: Eukaryota; Metazoa; Arthropoda; Arachnida; Ixodida; Ixodidae. The record is from RefSeq and is a predicted model, not a curated record.
GAAGGGAAUGACGAAUACAUGAAGCGAACCACGUUUAAUUAUAGGUUGAGCCGUGUCAGGAGGCUUAUAGAAAACUCUUUUGGGAUCCUGGCAAGCAGGUGGCGCAUCUUGAGAAGAUCAUUCAAGACGUCGGAGGACACAACGCAUUGCAUCGUCAAAGCGUGCGUGGCGCUGCACAAUUUUAUGUUAAAGGACUCUGCCCUUUCAGCCUCAACAUACAACCCUCCAGGGUAUGUCGACAGCGAAGACUGGGAGGGGAUUACAUCAGAUGGUGCAUGGCGAGCUGACGACAGUGGCCUAUCUGGACUGGGAGAACUACGUGGACAGGGAUACCACUCUGCUCUAGAUGCAGUGGACAUGCGGGACAGGCUGGCAUCGUACUUUUUGAGUGAUGGAAAAGUACCAUGGCAAGAAAGUAUCGUAACUCGUGCAGGAAAGAAGCUACAGUGACAAUUUCUACUACCGAGAAGGCGGGACCGCACCAGCUGGUCUCUUGAUAGACCUGCAGGAAGAGUUAGAAAAUGCAGAUGUGGACGCACAGAUAUGUGAAGACAGUUACCCUUGAGAAGAUGCAGAUCUGUUCACAGAAACUUCUGGUCUGGAGCCUGCUUCAUAUGUUGAUGGACUGGAAAAUCUGCAUGAGAAAUAACCGUCCCCUUUCAGUUAUGCACAAACGUGGCGCAAAUAAAAUUGCGCCAAGUUUGAACACCCGGCCCAGAAUGCAUAAGCCUUCAAUGUGAUUGACCUUGUUGCACUCAUAAAGUGGCCUACUUAGCAAAUUACGCAACCAUAAAGUUUAAUGUCUUGCACUUACGGUGCAUCCUCUUCUUCAGGUGCCACAUGAAGCGGAAUAUCAGGACACCUGCGUUAAAUGGAACGAUGCUUACAGUUAGCUAUGAUGUGUUAGUAGCUAAGAAAGAUGCCGUUAUCACAGUAUUAUAAAAGUAUACUCACAUUUCCUGGAAAGCGUCUGCUUCAGGGGUCAAGGUAUCGCUGCGCAAUUUUUUGUUUUGGUGACCAUUUUUUUUGCAUAUACGAAAGCAACAAAUAUGUACCUAUUCAUUUGUCCAAGGCCUGAGUAUCCAGCGCUAGAUGUUGACGAUUCUUGAGAGAGCCUGCAGAGCCAGCAACCAUUGGCCUUGUUUUAUAAAAGCGUUAUACAUUGAAGCAAAGCUGGGAAAGACUCCAGUG